UUCUCCCGCGCCCCUGGUGGUGGCGCUGUGCUCCCCACCCCCCUGCUGACGGCGUCGCGGCCGUGGAGAUGCUUGGAGAGAUGCGCAUUUGACAUCGUGAACGUGGUGAAGAUGGCCUGAACGUUGGCCUAGAAGUGUAUUGACAGCCGCCGGAAACUGCAGGAGAAUCAAGUGCUACCACCACCUUCAACGGUGAAAAAUUCUGCAGUAGCAGACAUUGCUGCUUUCAUUGAAAAGGCAAGCGAAGAACGGAGGACAAGCAGCGCAUGUCCAAGUCUACACAAAUCAACGUCAGCAUCAACGGUAAUGGGACUCAUUAAUCGCCAAACAAGAGGUGGUUUGGUGUUCCUGAAGCCCAAGUUUUUUGGUGUCCUGGUUAACGUAAAAAAGGUCGUUGACAUCGCAGUACCAUAUAUUGGCAAGGAUAAUGCGUGCAAAAAGCUGGCAGCUUUGAUUUGUCUGUACUUAGGGAGCUGCCCUCUUUUUACUUGCCAGGCAAACGAAGAGCCUACAUCAGUGACUUCUUCAAUAGUAGCAAGCAAAUUUAUAAAGCCCCUAUUGUCAAACAUUGGCGCAGCUGUUAGAGACACAGCGGUUAACCGCAAACAAA
Molecule: long non-coding RNA, 610 nt
Organism: Dermacentor silvarum
Lineage: Eukaryota; Metazoa; Arthropoda; Arachnida; Ixodida; Ixodidae
Exons: 2
Source: RefSeq, a predicted model, not a curated record